This 749-nucleotide ribosomal RNA is filed under the name uncultured bacterium. RNAcentral describes it as "bacterial SSU rRNA". It matches the Rfam family "Bacterial small subunit ribosomal RNA", at positions 575 to 1319 of the family's 1533-position model. The record is from RNAcentral.
ACGGCUUUGUCGCGUCUGCCGUGAAAGUCCGGGGCUCAACUCCGGAUCUGCGGUGGGUACGGGCAGACUAGAGUGAUGUAGGGGAGACUGGAAUUUCUGGUGUAGCGGUGAAAUGCGCAGAUAUCAGGAGGAACACCGCAUGGCGAAGGCAGGUCUCUGGGCAUUAACUGACGCUGAGGAGCGAAAGCAUGGGGAGCGAACAGGAUUAGAUACCCUGGUAGUCCAUGCCGUAAACGUUGGGCACUAGGUGUGGGGGACAUUCCACGUUUUCCGCGCCGUAGCUAACGCAUUAAAGUGCCCCGCCUGGGGAGUACGGCCGCAAGGCUAAAACUCAAAGGAAUUGACGGGGGCCCGCACAAGCGGCGGAGCAUGCGGAUUAAUUCGAUGCAACGCGAAGAACCUUACCAAGGCUUGACAUGAACCGGUAAGACCUGGAAACAGGUCCCCCACUUGUGGCCGGUUUACAGGUGGUGCAUGGUUGUCGUCAGCUCGUGUCGUGAGAUGUUGGGUUAAGUCCCGCAACGAGCGCAACCCUCGUUCCAUGUUGCCAGCGCGUUAUGGCGGGGACUCAUGGGAGACUGCCGGGGUCAACUCGGAGGAAGGUGGGGACGACGUCAAAUCAUCAUGCCCCUUAUGUCUUGGGCUUCACGCAUGCUACAAUGGCCGGUACAAAGGGUUGCGAUACUGUGAGGUGGAGCUAAUCCCAAAAAGCCGGUCUCAGUUCGGAUUGGGGUUUGCAACUCGACCCC